RNAcentral lists this ribosomal RNA (668 nucleotides) under Gordonia sp. YIM 68247. Its description in RNAcentral is "bacterial SSU rRNA". It matches the Rfam family "Bacterial small subunit ribosomal RNA", at positions 56 to 737 of the family's 1533-position model. The record is from RNAcentral. Lineage: Bacteria; Bacillati; Actinomycetota; Actinomycetes; Mycobacteriales; Gordoniaceae.
UGCAAGUCGAACGGAAAGGCCCAGCUUGCUGGGUACUCGAGUGGCGAACGGGUGAGUAACACGUGGGUGAUCUGCCCUGAACUUUGGGAUAAGCCUGGGAAACUGGGUCUAAUACCGGAUAUGACCUUGGAGUGCAUGCUCUGGGGUGGAAAGCUUUUGCGGUUCAGGAUGGGCCCGCGGCCUAUCAGCUUGUUGGUGGGGUAAUGGCCUACCAAGGCGACGACGGGUAGCCGACCUGAGAGGGUGAUCGGCCACACUGGGACUGAGACACGGCCCAGACUCCUACGGGAGGCAGCAGUGGGGAAUAUUGCACAAUGGGCGCAAGCCUGAUGCAGCGACGCCGCGUGAGGGAUGACGGCCUUCGGGUUGUAAACCUCUUUCACCAGGGACGAAGCGCAAGUGACGGUACCUGGAGAAGAAGCACCGGCCAACUACGUGCCAGCAGCCGCGGUAAUACGUAGGGUGCGAGCGUUGUCCGGAAUUACUGGGCGUAAAGAGCUCGUAGGCGGUUUGUCGCGUCGUCUGUGAAAUUCUGCAACUCAAUUGUAGGCGUGCAGGCGAUACGGGCAGACUUGAGUACUACAGGGGAGACUGGAAUUCCUGGUGUAGCGGUGAAAUGCGCAGAUAUCAGGAGGAACACCGGUGGCGAAGGCGGGUCUCUGGGUAGU